Non-coding RNA from Schistosoma mattheei, 45 nucleotides. The record is from Rfam. Lineage: Eukaryota; Metazoa; Platyhelminthes; Trematoda; Strigeidida; Schistosomatidae.
AUUCAGCCGACAAGUCCCAAAUAGGAUGAAAUGAGCAUCCUGGAU